Molecule: ribosomal RNA, 661 nt
Filed under: Psychrobacter sp.
Lineage: Bacteria; Pseudomonadati; Pseudomonadota; Gammaproteobacteria; Moraxellales; Moraxellaceae
Description: bacterial SSU rRNA
Rfam family: Bacterial small subunit ribosomal RNA
Source: RNAcentral
UCAGCCCUGCCGCGUGAUGUGAAGAAGGCCUUUUGGUCUGUAAAGCACUUUAAGCAGUGAAGAAGACCUAACGGCUUAGAUACCCGUUAGCGAUGACAUUAACUGCACAACUAAGCACCGGCUAACUCUGUGCCAGCAGCCGCGGUAAUACUGAGGGUGCAAGCGUUAGUCGAAAUUACUGGGCGUAAAGCGAGCGUAGGUGGCUUGAUAAGUCAGAUGUGAAAUCCCCGGGCUUAACCUGGGAACUGCAUCUGAUACUGUUAAGCUAGAGUAGGUGAGAGGGAAGUAGAAUUCCAGGUGUAGCGGUGAAAUGCGUAGAGAUCUGGAGGAAUACCGAUGGCGAAGGCAGCUUCCUGGCAUCGUACUGACACUGAGGCUCGAAAGCGUGGGUAGCAAACAGGAUUAGAUACCCUGGUAGUCCACGCCGUAAACGAUGUCUACUAGUCGUUGGGUCCCUUGAGGACUUAGUGACGCAGCUAACGCAAUAAGUAGACCGCCUGGGGAGUACGGCCGCAAGGUUAAAACUCAAAUGAAUUGACGGGGGCCCGCACAAGCGGUGGAGCAUGUGGUUUAAUUCGAUGCAACGCGAAGAACCUUUACCUGGUCUUGACAUACACAGAAUCUUUGUAGAGAUAACAAGAGUGGCUUCGGGAAAUUGUGA